UCAGGAUGCAGAAAAGGGAGAGAGAGUUAUAGGAUCGAAAGUGAAACAAAACAAAGGAAACGGAAUCAGAUAACACCCCGGGACGGGAGAGGGCAAGUUGCGCCUAGUAUGCGCCUCCCAGAUGAUGACCU
Non-coding RNA from Caenorhabditis elegans, 131 nucleotides. The record is from Ensembl. NCBI's taxonomy places the organism in Eukaryota, Metazoa, Nematoda, Chromadorea, Rhabditida, Rhabditidae.